This 73-nucleotide transfer RNA is filed under the name Allium caeruleum. RNAcentral describes it as "tRNA-Trp". It matches the Rfam family "tRNA". Rfam says of the family: Transfer RNA (tRNA) molecules are approximately 80 nucleotides in length. Their secondary structure includes four short double-helical elements and three loops (D, anti-codon, and T loops). Further hydrogen bonds mediate the characteristic L-shaped molecular structure. tRNAs have two regions of fundamental functional importance: the anti-codon, which is responsible for specific mRNA codon recognition, and the 3' end, to which the tRNAs corresponding amino acid is attached (by aminoacyl-tRNA synthetases). tRNAs cope with the degeneracy of the genetic code in two manners: having more than one tRNA (with a specific anti-codon) for a particular amino acid; and 'wobble' base-pairing, i.e. permitting non-standard base-pairing at the 3rd anti-codon position. The record is from RNAcentral. Lineage: Eukaryota; Viridiplantae; Streptophyta; Magnoliopsida; Asparagales; Amaryllidaceae.
GCGCUCUUAGUUCAGUUCGGUAGACGCGGGUCUCCAAAACCCGAUGUCGUAGGUUCAAAUCCUACAGAGCGUG